RNAcentral lists this ribosomal RNA (2142 nucleotides) under Triticum aestivum (bread wheat). RNAcentral's name for it is "partial small subunit ribosomal RNA". The record is from RNAcentral. Lineage: Eukaryota; Viridiplantae; Streptophyta; Magnoliopsida; Poales; Poaceae.
AUGCGCGCGGAUCGCGUCAUGGCGGAGUCGGGCAAGCGGAUCGACCUGGCCGCGCCGCUGCGCUCCGCGCGCCUGCCGUACCACAAGGCCGACCUGGACUCCGGCCCCGUCCGCCACCCCGGCGCCGUGCCCUUCGUCUGGGAGCAGAGCCCCGGCCAGCCCAAGAGCGUCCGCACCCGUCGCCCGGUUCCGCACUCGCCCUCGCCCUCGCAGCCGCGCCCGGAGGAGAACGGCGCCACCCCUUACCACGGCGCCCUGGGCGAGCGCGAUCGCGCACUGCCAAACGUCAUCCCCGCCGCCGCCGCCGUGCCCCGAACUGGCGCCGCGGAGCGUGAGGUGGAGAGGGCGGAGGUCGAGCCGACGAGGAAGGAAGCCACGACGCCGGACGUGCUGUCCGUGGCUGAUGUGCUGCGGAAGGAGGAGGAGGACGUCGGCGAUGACGAGGAGAGGUUCUCGGACGCGCUGGACACGCUCUCCCGCACAGAGUCCUUCACCGUGAACUGCAGCGUCAGCGGUCUCAGCGGCGUGCCGGACCGCCCCGCGGGUGCGGGUGCGGCCGCCAGCGCCGAGCCCGGCGCCCGCGGCCUCAUGAUGGACCGCUUCCUACCGGCCGCACAGGCGGUGGCCGUGGGCUCCCCGCAGUACACCUUCCGCAAGGCCAGUGUAGCUGGCUCCACCGGCAACUCUGCCCGCGAGCAUGCGCAUGCCGCUGCGGCCAAUUGGAGAAUGGGCAGCGAUGAUGAUCGCGUCAGGAGAACACCUGUCCAGCUCCCUUACCAGAAUCUGCCUCCCAAUUAUUUGUCUUGCAACUAUCCCAGACGCGAUGAGCAUGAAGAAGAGGAGGAAGAAGAGGAUGAGGAUGACUUCGACGUACACAGUACCCGAGGUUUUGCAUCCAAGGGGUGUGGUUUGCUCCCUGGAUUGUGCGUAAAAACCUCCUUGUUACUACUGAAUCCAAUGCCUAUGAUGAAGGGUGGCAAGGGGCGUCGGGGAGGAAGAGGCAGGGGAUUGGUAUCCAAAGGCAGGGGCCAGAAGGCACCGAGCCCUCUUGCCCGGAGCUCACAACGUAAGAAUCUUGGCUGUGAUUCUAAUGGGGUAAGCAGAUGCACACAACAAUGCUUCAUGAAUUCAGAGUUAUGUUGCUUCUUGACAAUUUCAGGAGUGGUAGUUCUAAACAUCUCAAUCUCUGUUAUAUUGCAGCAAUACUGGGAGGAAGUUUAUAAGCACAAGUUGGAACAGAAGUACAUUAACCAAGGAGAGGAUAGGAGGAGCAAGCUGACAAGUGAGUCGAACCAUCUGACAUUCUGGAGUGACUCUCAAACUGGCGAUGGGUCUUCACCAUUCCGCCACUCCAUAGGUGGUGGCAUGUCUCCCUACCGCCGCGACGUUGCCUUGUCACCAUCACGUAAAGCAAAUGGGUCAUUUGAAGUAAGAGAUAAAGAUGAGAAAAUGAGUAGAAGCAAUGGCUCUAGCUCACUUGGAAUAGACCAUGAUCAUGGCUCGUUGCUUGGAUCAGAUCACAGUUCUUUGAAGGGAUCAAGCUCCAUGAGCUCAGGGGGCGAUAGAACAUUGCAUGAAGAUUCAAUGGAUCACCGUUCAGGUAUUGAUUCAGAAGCUAGUCAGUUGACCCUGCCAUUGGAUCCAAAGGCAUCUUUGAAUUCAGGGUGUGAUGUUCAACAUGGAGGACACCAGAUAGUCAGAAGUAACAGCAUAGUGGAAGUUCAAGACAAUGAUACGUUGACAAAAACAAUCGCCAAAGUGCCAGAAUCCAUUUCAUUAAUACCUUCCGGAAACGCAGGAUCAGUAAAACUGGAUGAUAGAAAAACUCAUGAUAGUAGUCAGGAUGUUCCAGUACAUUCGGAAGAUAAUAUCGCCGUCAAGAAGGAAAGUAUGCCUUUGCAAUUUCUAAUGCCGUUACCUGUCCCAAAGUCGCCUUCAGAUUCUUGGCUUUCUCGCAAUUUGCCAUCUGUGAAGAAUAAACCACCUGCACCAUCUUUUCUUGGAAUCCAAGUACAGUCCAAGAAACAAGCUCCCUGGGCCUCCGCACAUCCAAAGGAGAAUGAUCUUAAACCUCCCAGGACACGCCAAAUAAGAUUUGCAGAUGUGGUGGAGAGGCCUUAUUAUCUGGAUACUGAGAUAUGA